This 503-nucleotide ribosomal RNA is filed under the name uncultured Glomus. RNAcentral describes it as "SSU rRNA". It matches the Rfam family "Eukaryotic small subunit ribosomal RNA", at positions 569 to 1074 of the family's 1831-position model. Lineage: Eukaryota; Fungi; Glomeromycota; Glomeromycetes; Glomerales; Glomeraceae. The record is from RNAcentral.
AGCAGCCGCGGUAAUUCCAGCUCCAAUAGCGUAUAUUAAAGUUGUUGCAGUUAAAAAGCUCGUAGUUGAAUUUCGGGAUCAAUUUGCUGGUCGUGCCUUCGGUACGCACUGGUAUUAUUGGUUUCUCCUUUCUGAUGAAUCGCGAUGUCAUUAAUUUGGUGUCGUGGGGAAUCAGGACUGUUACUUUGAAAAAAUUAGAGUGUUUAAAGCAGGCUCACGCUUGAAUACAUUAGCAUGGAAUAAUGAAAUAGGACGUUUGAUUCUACUUUGUUGGUUUCUAGGAUCGACGUAAUGAUUAAUAGGGAUAGUUGGGGGCAUUAGUAUUCAAUUGUCAGAGGUGAAAUUCUUGGAUUUAUUGAAGACUAACUACUGCGAAAGCAUUUGCCAAGGAUGUUUUCAUUAAUCAAGAACGAAAGUUAGGGGAUCGAAGACGAUCAGAUACCGUCGUAGUCUUAACCAUAAACUAUGCCGACUAGGGAUCGGAUGAUGUUAAUUUUUAAUGA